RNAcentral lists this ribosomal RNA (476 nucleotides) under uncultured bacterium. Its description in RNAcentral is "bacterial SSU rRNA". It matches the Rfam family "Bacterial small subunit ribosomal RNA", at positions 338 to 831 of the family's 1533-position model. The record is from RNAcentral.
CCUACGGGAGGCAGCAGUGGGGAAUCUUGCACAAUGGAGGAAACUCUGAUGCAGCGAUGCCGCGUGAGUGAAGAAGGCCUUUGGGUUGUAAAGCUCUUUUGUAGGGGAAGAUAAUGACUGUACCCUAAGAAUAAGGUCCGGCUAACUUCGUGCCAGCAGCCGCGGUAAUACGAAGGGACCUAGCGUAGUUCGGAAUUACUGGGCGUAAAGCGCGCGUAGGCCGUUGAGUUAGUUAAUUGUGAAAUCCCAAAGCUUAACUUUGGAACUGCAAUUAAAACUGCUCGACUAGAGUUUGAUAGAGGAAAGCGGAAUACAUAGUGUAGAGGUGAAAUUCGUAGAUAUUAUGUAGAACACCAGUUGCGAAGGCGGCUUUCUGGAUCAACACUGACGCUGAGGCGCGAAAGUAUGGGUAGCAAAGAGGAUUAGAUACCCUCGUAGUCCAUACCAUAAACGAUNAUNNANAUGUGUAAUUAUUU